AUGAUUGAUAAUUAAAUUAACAGAUAGAGGCAAAGAUAUAGAUUCUUCUGAGAGCAAAGAAUUGUGGAAGUUUUUCCAUAAAAUAGUUUCACUUUCUAUUAACCCAAAGGUAUCUAAAAGAUUAAUAAGAGGGUGGUGUGUUUGUCCUCUGCUAUACUCUGAGCUAAAAGUGUUUGGAAACAGUUACUAUUUAUCACAUAGGACUCUUACUAUUUAUGAAUACUGUUGACCAUAUGAAUAACACCACUAUUUAUGACAUACAUACAGACAGCUUCAUAAUGUCAGAAGAACAUUGUUGAUAUGUUCAUUAUUCAUGUAAACCAGAUAGCAAAGAAAGGGGUAAAUUUGAGAGGUACAGAAUACCUCAAGGAUUUGUAAUAUGGGCUGCAGGUUAUCCAUGCAAUGCUUGAAAUUGGAGGACAUGCUUCAUAUUUGUUUUGUUUGUUUGUUUGUUUGUUUGUUUUGUCUUUUUAGAAAGGGAUCUUUAUCAGAGUUGCAAAAGUAUUUUGGGCUGGCCCCUCAAAAAACGUUUAAAUCUUCUUAGGAUUGAUAGUUUGUUACUUGUCUUUACAACACCUGGAUGAAGAUUUUUUAAAAGAUGUCUUAUAGGUUUGCUCAUAUGACAGCCUACUCAAUGCAAUCCAAAGUCUAUACCUUUCAUAUGGACUUUGGGAGAUGUACGUAAACCUAAGGCAGCAGAGCCUUUUAAUCAACAUGCUGUUGCAGCCUCCCUUUCCUUUCAACAUCAUACCAUCUUGUCUCCUGCUCCGACUUCUCUCUCCUCCCUUUGAAUUAGCAGCAAAACCUGAGGGCACUUUUCAACUUAAUAGAGGAAUAGAUAAUUCUCAUUCCAUGGGUAAAACUGCAGCACUGUGAUCCAUUUAAAAAUAUGAUCGAUAUCUUUUCAUACAGUGCAUCUGUUAGGAAUCAUGAAAGGAAAAUUGUUAAUAAGGGGAUUUAUUAUUUUACAAACCCCAAACUCCACUUUUUAUAACAAUAAACAAUGUGAACAAGAAAGUGAUGCAUCAUUUAAAAUUGACCAUGAUGGAGAAGAUACCAUCAAAGCCAGUAUUCGCUGGUACCCUUCUAAGACUUGAC
This 1098-nucleotide long non-coding RNA is filed under the name Marmota monax (woodchuck). The record is from RNAcentral. Lineage: Eukaryota; Metazoa; Chordata; Mammalia; Rodentia; Sciuridae.